RNAcentral lists this transfer RNA (66 nucleotides) under Paramphistomum leydeni. RNAcentral describes it as "tRNA-Gln". The record is from RNAcentral. Lineage: Eukaryota; Metazoa; Platyhelminthes; Trematoda; Plagiorchiida; Paramphistomidae.
UGUAAUGUGGUGUAUUAGGUUGCAUACUAUGUUUUGGUCAUAGUGGGGGUUUGUUACUCAUUACAU